UAGAUCAUGCCCUUUGCCAUCCCGGUCAGAUCUCCUUCCCUUUAAAAACGAGGCUGCCCUCCCUAUCCUCUUCGCUCUUAUCAGGGAAAUCCCCAAAUCUCAAUCUUACCCUUCUGACCUUCUCAACCAUCUACCAAACCCUAACCCACGGCGGAGCGGCUCCCUCCUUUUCUCUCUGUCGGUGGUCCUGUCCUUCCGGCAAGAUCAGUCUCCCCGACCUGAGAUCUUCCGACCGGCGCGUCGGGUUUCGAACAAAGGAGGCGCGUGGCUUCCACGCUCUAUGUAAAUUCAUGUGUUCUUGGUCACUCGAAUUCGGAAACCUCAGCCGCCGGGGCUGUACCGGAAGUCUACUGGACUCAUGGCUUUCGGCGUGGCAUGUACAUAGCACAGAACGACGAAUCUACGGUCUAGAUCAUGCCCUUUGCCAUCCCGGUCAGAUCUCCUUCCCUUUAAAAACGAGGCUGCCCUCCCUAUCCUCUUCGCUCUUAUCAGGGAAAUCCCCAAAUCUCAAUCUUACCCCUCUAACCUUCUCAACCCUCUACCAAACCCUUCCGGCAAGAUUAAUCUCCUUAUCUCUCUCUGUCGGUGGUCCUGUCUUUCCGGCAAGAUUAGUCUCCCCGACCUGAGAUCUUCCGACCGGCGCGUCGGGUUUCAAACAAAGGAGGCGCGUGGUGUUCACGCUCUAUGUAAAUUCAUGUGUUCUUGGUCACUCGAAUUCGGAAACCUCAGCCGCCGGGGCUGUACCGGAACUCUACUGGACUCAUGGCUUCAGCUGUGCUAGCUAAUCAGAGCGAACCGAGCUGGAUGCAGGCACAGCCGGCCGGCGGGGCCAAGCUAAUGGGCAAAUACCCCUUCUCCAACUCCAACCCUAGCAACCCUAACCCUCAAUUCUCUAAGAAACGGCAUCUUCAGGCGUUGCCUUUCGCCGAGGUAGAUGAAUCUCCGGCGUUCACACAAUCUGCGGCAUCUGACGACGCGUCAUCAAUUAAUCGGAAACCUAACGAUUUCAUCACUGGGCGAUACGUCACCUUCAAUGUCGCUUCGUAUUCAAAGAAGGAGCUUGUGGACCUGAAGGAUCGGUUGGUUGCCGAGCUUGAGCAGAUCCGACAAUUGGAGAGCCGCAUCAAUUCGUCGUCCGACUCCCAGAUCAGAUCCGGCUCAAAUUUUCACAACAAGAAACCAAUUGGUGGUCCGAACAGCAACAAGAAGAUACUGGGAAACAAGCGGCCCUUCCCUGCUACUAAUUCGAGUUUUGGGGUUCAGGAAUUGAAGAGAUCACACAACCACCAAGAUAACUCGCAAUUGAUGAAGAAGUGCAGCCAGAUCUUGUCCAAAUUAAUGAAGCACAAGUACGGGCACAUCUUCAACGUGCCGGUAGACAUUGUUGGAUUGCAGCUUCACGAUUAUAACGAC
Molecule: long non-coding RNA, 1413 nt
Filed under: Linum usitatissimum (flax)
Lineage: Eukaryota; Viridiplantae; Streptophyta; Magnoliopsida; Malpighiales; Linaceae
Description: long non-coding RNA (LUSI_LNC007729)
Source: RNAcentral